GCCAGGAUGGUGUAGUGGUUUCAGUGCUAGACUAUGACUCUGGAGAACAGGGUUCCAUUCCCCACUUGAGCA
This is a non-coding RNA of Phrynosoma platyrhinos (Desert horned lizard), 72 nucleotides long. Lineage: Eukaryota; Metazoa; Chordata; Lepidosauria; Squamata; Phrynosomatidae. The record is from the annotation of a GenBank genome assembly.